This 429-nucleotide ribosomal RNA is filed under the name uncultured Nitrosomonas sp. RNAcentral's name for it is "bacterial SSU rRNA". It matches the Rfam family "Bacterial small subunit ribosomal RNA", at positions 198 to 607 of the family's 1533-position model. Lineage: Bacteria; Pseudomonadati; Pseudomonadota; Betaproteobacteria; Nitrosomonadales; Nitrosomonadaceae. The record is from RNAcentral.
GGAGGAAAGUAGGGGAUCGCAAGACCUUGCGCUAAAGGAGCGGCCGAUGUCUGAUUAGUUAGUUGGUGGGGUAAAGGCCUACCAAGGCAACGAUCAGUAGCUGGUCUGAGAGGACGAUCAGCCACACUGGGACUGAGACACGGCCCAGACUCCUACGGGAGGCAGCAGUGGGGAAUUUUGGACAAUGGGCGAAAGCCUGAUCCAGCCAUGCCGCGUGAAUGAAGAAGGCCUUCGGGUUGUAAAGUUCUUUUAGUUGGAAAGAAAAAAUUAUGAUGAAUAAUCAUAAUUCAUGACGGUACCGACAGAAAAAGCACCGGCUAACUACGUGCCAGCAGCCGCGGUAAUACGUAGGGUGCAAGCGUUAAUCGGAAUUACUGGGCGUAAAGGGUGUGCAGGCGGCCUUUGUUUAAGGUGCGAAAGAAUGGUUGG